CCAACUGUGUGAAUUAAUGUGAACUGCAUACUGCUUUGAACAUCGACAUCUUGAACGCAUAUUGCGGCCACGGGUUAG
RNAcentral lists this ribosomal RNA (78 nucleotides) under Paragonimus kellicotti. Its description in RNAcentral is "5.8S ribosomal RNA". Lineage: Eukaryota; Metazoa; Platyhelminthes; Trematoda; Plagiorchiida; Troglotrematidae. The record is from RNAcentral.